RNAcentral lists this ribosomal RNA (496 nucleotides) under uncultured bacterium. RNAcentral describes it as "partial 16S ribosomal RNA". It matches the Rfam family "Bacterial small subunit ribosomal RNA", at positions 29 to 507 of the family's 1533-position model. The record is from RNAcentral.
ACGAACGCUGGCGGCGUGCCUAAUACAUGCAAGUUGAGCGCUGAAGGUUGGUACUUGUACCAACUGGAUGAGCAGCGAACGGGUGAGUAACGCGUGGGGAAUCUGCCUUUGAGCGGGGGACAACAUUUGGAAACGAAUGCUAAUACCGCAUAAAAACUUUAAACACAAGUUUUAAGUUUGAAAGAUGCAAUUGCAUCACUCAAAGAUGAUCCCGCGUUGUAUUAGCUAGUUGGUGAGGUAAAGGCUCACCAAGGCGAUGAUACAUAGCCGACCUGAGAGGGUGAACGGCCACAUUGGGACUGAGACACGGCCCAAACUCCUACGGGGGGCAGCAGUAGGGAAUCUUCGGCAAUGGACGAAAGUCUGACCGAGCAACGCCGCGUGAGUGAAGAAGGUUUUCGGAUCGUAAAACUCUGUUGGUAGAGAAGAACGUUGGUGAGAGUGGAAAGCUCAUCAAGUGACGGUAACUACCCAGAAAGGGACGGCUAACUACGUG